UACGAAGGGGGCUAGCGUUGUUCGGAAUUACUGGGCGUAAAGCGCGCGUAGGCGGACAUUUAAGUCAGGGGUGAAAUGCCGGGGCUCAACCUCGGAACUGCCUUUGAUACUGGAUGUCUGGAGUUGGGGAGAGGUGAGUGGAAUUCCGAGUGUAGAGGUGAAAUUCGUAGAUAUCAGGAGGAACACCAAUGGCGAAGGCAGCUCGCUGGGACGGUACUGACACUGAGACGCGAAAGCGUGGGGAGCAAACAGG
Molecule: ribosomal RNA, 253 nt
Filed under: uncultured bacterium
Lineage: Bacteria
Description: partial 16S ribosomal RNA
Rfam family: Bacterial small subunit ribosomal RNA
Source: RNAcentral